Molecule: ribosomal RNA, 582 nt
Filed under: uncultured fungus
Lineage: Eukaryota; Fungi
Description: SSU rRNA
Rfam family: Eukaryotic small subunit ribosomal RNA
Source: RNAcentral
GNCUCAACACGGGGAAACUCACCAGGUCCANGACACGAUNAGGAUUGACAGAUUGAGAGCUCUUUCUUGAUUUCNUGGGUGGUGGUGCAUGGCCGUUCUUAGUUGGUGGAGUGAUUUGUCUGCUUAAUUGCGAUAACGAACGAGACCUUAACCUGNUAAAUAGCCCGUAUUGCUUUGGCAGUACGCUGGCUUCUUAGAGGGACUAUCGGCUCAAGCCGAUGGAAGUUUGAGGCAAUAACAGGUCUGUGAUGCCCUUAGAUGUUNUGGGCCGCACGCGCGCUACACUGACAGAGCCAGCGAGUACUCCCUUGGCCGGAAGGCCCGGGUAAUCUUGUUAAACUCUGUCGUGCUGGGGAUAGAGCAUUGCAAUUAUUGCUCUUCAACGAGGAAUCCCUAGUAAGCGCAAGUCAUCAGCUUGCGUUGAUUACGUCCCUGCCCUUUGUACACACCGCCCGUCGCUACUACCGAUUGAAUGGCUCAGUGAGGCUUCCGGACUGGCCCAGAGAGGUCGGCAACGACCACUCAGGGCCGGAAAGCUAUCCAAACUCGGUCAUUUAGAGGAAGUAAAAGUCGUAACAAGGU